CUGGCACACAGCUGGAGGGAGCCUCCUGCCAGAGGAGCAGAGGCGGCUCACCCAACAAGGAGGGGCAAGGAGGGGCUUCAGUACUCGAAGCAGAUGCAGGGAUGAGCUGGCUCUGUGUCCACGGCUUCUGUUCUCUCAGCCAAAUAAGAAACCAGAUCAUCAGCUGGGAGUGGGGAUAAGGAGGGACUCUGUCAUUGAAAGGGGGGAACGGCAUGAGGCGGAGGUCCCAGAAGUGCCCAGUUGAAAGCCUUGGGUGUAACUUGGAGCAGAGCUGUCUCCCAGGCAGAUGAGGGGCCAGGGCAGGGAAAGCUUGGAGCUAAGCUGAGCUCUGGGUUUUUCCAGGAGCCUUGAGGGUGUGUGCAAAGGCAUGCUGAGAGUGCGGCGCCUUGCACUCUACGCCGUGUGGGUGUGGGGGUGUCAGUGUGCAGGAGUCAGGAGGAGCAGGGGCAGUAAGUAGGCUGCCGGGGUGGGCCAUGGGGGCCAGGAAUGGACAAUGAUGAAAUCACUGGUGAUGGCAAGUCUAAGGAGUCACCGUGCAAAGCAAGGACUGGCAGGAGGUGGGUGGAAACGCCUGUAAGUGCAGAAUCGUCCGUGUGUGGAGAGGUCUUGCAGUUGCCAGGAAUGAUGCCAGGAGAAGAGGUGAAGAAGCUGACCAUGGGAAUCUACGGUGACUGCAAGGGGAGCCAGGCCUUCGGUGGCAAAAUACAUGGAAGACAUUGACUCUUUCAAUAAGAUGGACUGCCCACUAUGUGCCAGGCACUGAACACGCAAAGACGAACCAGUCUCAACCCCUGCGGAUGAGGAGCUCAGCCUAAUGGGAAAGGCAGAAGAGCCUGAGAUCACACGGCUGGGGAACCGUGGGGCAGGAUGGAGUGUGGGUCCUUCGUCUCUUGGCUUCCUGGGUGUCGGAGCUGGGUGUAAAUCCAAGCACCCACCCUGCAGCCUGUGCUCAGCCCACCGUGCUCCAGGCUGCUCAGGCUUUGUGCACGGAGUAGAGUCAGAGGCAACGGAAGAGGAGGUGGCAGCCAGCACUCUUGGGCCCGGGACCCUUGCUUGAGACUUGACAUGAAAUGGAAGAGAGUGCGAGAACUGGAAGGAGAUCACAGUAGCUCUGGCUUUCAGACACAAGUGUCUAUUUCCUCAGUCAAGGAGAAGCCUUCCUCACACCAUGAGAGGUGUGGACCUUGUAUCUCUUACAACAACCAAGGCUGGACACCACCUCCUAAUGUCGUUGGAAAAGCCAGUGCUCCACCUUAUGACCCAAACUGACUGAGAGAAUGUUUGCCAGGCCCCUGGCUGUCUACGAGGAAUGGGAGGCAUUAAUGGAUUAACUGAAUCCUGGCUCCUACAUGUUAGCCUGAGGUCAAGAGUUAAAACAACAUUGAAAUAUCUUCCUAAUCACAAAGAAAUUCCAAAUCAAGUCAUUUCAUUUGCACAGAAGUCUUGUAAAUGUGAUCUUUGCAGAGGGAAAGCACUCCAUGGAAUGAAGGGGAAGAAGGAGCAAGGGUACGGGUCCCAGUGGUCCCAGCCUGGACUCUUCCUAGCUGUUGAGCACAGCUGAAAGAACAGAGCAACACUCGAGGCCAAGGUGGAAAGAGCUUCCUUUCCUUGUAGGCCACUGACCUUACACUGGAACGAGCACCACCAGCAAACACCUGUGAUGCCAAUCGUCUUGCAGGUAGGAGAGAUCCAUCCAGGAGUGGGAUGGACUCGACAUAAGCUGCAGGUGUGAUUCCUAAAGGACGUGCUACUCAAACACCAUGGAGGCUCGGCAGCAAAAAGCUGGUGGCGGGGUUGCAAAUUGCCAAGCACACCUGACACUCAUGGCCCUACACGCUCAUUCAACUGUUAAGAUACGGAAUAGAAAUCUACCCCCUGGGCAACCCAAGUGUUCAUUAACAGAUACAAACAAACUGUGGUCCAUCCACACAACAGAAUAUGAUUCAGCCUUUAAAAGGAAGGAAACGCUGACAUGGGUUACCACUGGAUAAACCUUGAAGACAUAGUGCUCAGUGAAAUAAGCCAGUCACAAAAGGAUGAGCGCUGUGUGAUUCCUCUUAUAGGAAGCACUAAAGUAGGCAAAUCCAUAGAGACAGAAAGUACAGUGGAGGCUGCCAGGGUCACGAGAGGAGGAGUUAUUGUUCAAUGGGUAGAG
Molecule: long non-coding RNA, 2155 nt
Filed under: Homo sapiens (human)
Lineage: Eukaryota; Metazoa; Chordata; Mammalia; Primates; Hominidae
Description: HSALNT0099473
Source: RNAcentral